GGAUAAACUCAAAAAGAAGAGAAAACUAUUUUUCUUUCCAUUAAGAAAACAGUAGCAUGUCAUUUGUGGGCCAGUGGAAAUCAAGGUGUGAUUUGACUUCCACAAAACAACAUCUCAGCAGCAGAAUUCAAGGAGGAAAUUCAUGAGGUCAUUUAAUGCCACAGACAAUUCUCUCUUUAAAACUGAGAGUUUUUGUCUCUGAGGGCUCUUUGCUCUGUGGCUGGCAAUAGAAGAGGAAAUGCAAUAUCUGAAGCUCAUUUGAGGCUGGAAUUCAGAGAAGCUGGAUGGAUGAACUUGGAACAACCUCUGAAGUGAUUACCCUGGCAAGAACAGCGAGUUCCUCCUGAGGAGGCAUUAAAGUCAGUUCAUGUGAUGCACACUUUUGGGUUCCCACCUCCCACAGGAACACAUCAGAAGACAAGGUCUCUUACUGUAACUUUUCCCCAAUGAAACACCAGGAAAAACAUCAUUUAUCUUUUAGUGUCUUGAGGAAUCUGUCUGAACCUCUGGGUGUGGGACACACUGUGUUUGGCAGUCACGGGCAUGGAUCAGCGCAAGGACAGCAGUUUAUUCCUCCAGCCAAUAGGAAGAAGAUGGUUUGUACUGGUGAAUCUCUGCUGAGGGUGGAAGGAGCCAAGAACUUCCAUAACUGCCCCUACAAAGGAUUCCCACAGAGCUUUGUUUUGUGUGACUGUGGAAAAAGAGGUGGAUUUGUGUUGCCUGUAAGCUCAUCCCAUCACUGCUGAGCGCUUUGUUUAUCCAUUCUCCAGGAAAGAUGCACUGUGCUGUCAUGUUUGAUUGUUAGGAGGUUUUAUGAGGUCUCUGCUGGAAUAACUUUAAGGUUGUUCUGUCCUGAGGCAGGAGCACCAAGGCUCUCCUGCUCUCGCUGGGGCGUGU
This 897-nucleotide long non-coding RNA is filed under the name Parus major (Great Tit). Its description in RNAcentral is "lncRNA (ENSPMJG00000004450.1)". The record is from RNAcentral. Lineage: Eukaryota; Metazoa; Chordata; Aves; Passeriformes; Paridae.